UGGUAAAUGGUUUAUAUUAUCACGCACACCACGCGUAAGAGUGUAUGUCAUUUUUGUAAAUGUAAAUUUGUUGUACAUUUGUUACUUUAUUAAAAUGGGAAUAUUAGAAAAAAUAUCUGAAAUUGAAAAAGAAAUUGCUCGGACGCAAAAGAAUAAAGCUACUGAGUAUCAUUUAGGUUUAUUAAAAGCAAAACUUGCGAAAUAUAGAUCACAACUUUUAGAACCACCAAAAAAAUCUGAAAAAGGAGAAGGAUUUGAUGUAUUAAAAUCAGGAGAUGCAAGAGUAGCUUUGAUAGGCUUUCCUUCUGUAGGAAAAUCUACUUUAUUAAGUACAUUAACACAUACAGAAUCUGAAGCAGCAUCUUAUGAAUUUACUACUUUAACUUGUAUACCUGGUGUUAUUGAAUAUAAAGGAGCUAAUAUUCAACUUCUUGAUCUUCCUGGAAUAAUUGAAGGUGCUGCACAGGGUAAAGGAAGGGGUAGGCAAGUAAUAGCUGUUGCACGAACAGCUGAUUUAGUUCUUAUGAUGUUAGAUGCUACUAAACAAGAUGUACAAAGACAACUUUUAGAAAAAGAACUGGAAUCAGUUGGUAUACGACUUAAUAAAAAAAAGCCAAACAUAUAUUUCAAGAUAAAGAAAGGAGGUGGAUUAGCAUUCAAUUCAACAUGUCCAUUAACAAAAGUAGAUGAAAAAUUAGUUCAAAUGAUUUUACAUGAAUAUAAAAUUUUCAAUGCAGAAGUUCUAUUUCGUGAAGAUUGUAGUGCAGAUGAAUUAAUUGAUGUAAUUAAUGCCAAUAGAGUAUAUUUACCAUGUCUUUAUGUACAUAAUAAAAUAGAUCAGAUAUCAAUAGAAGAAGUGGAUAGAAUUGCCAGGCAACCUAAUAGUGUAGUAGUUAGUUGCAAUAUGAAAUUAAAUUUGGACUUCCUUCUUGAAACAUUAUGGGAAUAUUUAUCUUUAAUAAGAGUUUAUACAAAAAAACCUGGUCAACCACCUGAUUUUGAAGAUGGUUUAAUAUUAAGAAAAGGAGUUACAGUAGAACAUGUAUGUCAUGCAAUUCAUCGUACACUUGCUCAACAAUUUAAAUAUGCUCUUGUUUGGUCAAAUAAAAGGAUUGAUUAUGUUUGGUCUUAGCUGAAGAAAAUAUAUUUAUAACCAAACAUAGCAUAUCAUUGAAUAUAAAAUGAGGAAAUAUGUGAAUGAAGAAUUCAUAGAAGAUGGAAUACAUGAAUUACUCUACUACUUUUGAAUACUAGCAUAAAGGGAGAUAAAAUCGCGUAACGGGGCCCCAUCAGUGGACAGCACUGUUUUAGAACAAAAAAAAAAAUUGGGUACAAGUACCAAAUAUUCACCUCAACGAGUUGGAUUACAACAUAUUAUGCACGAUGAAGAUGUUAUUCAAAUAGUUAAAAAAUAAAAUUUAUAUAAUUAUAAAUUAUUUGUGAAAAUAGUAAAAGUAGAAUAUUAUAUAGUUUUGUUUAUACGUUUUAUACAUGUUUGCUGGAAAAAGAAGAGAGAGAGAGAGAAAGAAUUGUCAUUUAAAACUUAAAUGCUA
This 1553-nucleotide unclassified non-coding RNA is filed under the name Apis florea (little honeybee). Its description in RNAcentral is "developmentally-regulated GTP-binding protein 2, transcript variant X3". Lineage: Eukaryota; Metazoa; Arthropoda; Insecta; Hymenoptera; Apidae. The record is from RNAcentral.